GUGCAUAUAUUUUAGUAUACAUGGAAACUGACUUCAAGUAGGAGCCAUCUAUCAGGUGACACAAAAUAAUAACGGCUCAGAUAUUGUAUAGGUUUAAAAUGUACAGAUGACAAACUCUAACCUACAAACUCUAGCCUUAACUACGCUUCUUUACAAAUAAGAAUUCUAUAUCGACUCAAUUCGUACACAUCAAGGCAAGACAUCACCCCUGAUCUCAUCCUUCAUCACAUACAUGCAAUAAUUAGUCCUCUCGCCAGCAACAAGGAGCAGACAGGUUGUGUGACAGUACUUGCAGGUAAUGUUCAUUAUCUCCUUCCACAAAUAAUACAUGCAUGUCUCCUUGCAAUGAUUAAUAUAUGCAUUAACUCUCCGAUCUCAUUACACAUGCUUUGUAUUAACUUGAAUUACAGAGAGAAAGCGCCGAUAAACUUGGGAUUCAGAUCACCAAUUACAGAGCAUGCACAUCCUGGCAAGACAUUGCCCUCCUCUCGCAAGCAGCAAGGAGCAGACAGGUUGCGUGGCAGUACUUGCAGCCAAUGUUCAUUAUCUCCUUCCACAAAUAAUAUAUGCAUGUCUCCUGCAAUGAUUAAUAUAUACAUCAACUCUCCGAUCUCAUUACACAUGCUUUGUAUUAACUUGAAUUACAGAGAGAAAGUGGCGAUAAACUUGAGAUUCAGAUCACCAAUUACAGAGCAUAUACGUCCUCUCAUUGGAAGGUGACAACACAAGUAUCCUUCUUUCACAAUAGAAUAAUGAUUUUAGACGAUUUAAAAGCCUUUGUUGGAAAACAAUCCAUACGAAAAAGAAUCUUAUCAGGAAACUAUCUGUUCCAUACAAAUACCUUCAGCAUUCUUGCAAACAAUGUGGUGCCUGACAUGUUUACAUUAAAUUUAUCAUCAGCAAUUCUGAAUUUCUGGACAAAUAAAAUCAGUUACGUAUAAGAUGCCCUCACUUAUAUCUCAGAAUAAAAUCAGUUACACUUUUUACCUCAUUAUUUCAGGAUUCACUAGCCGCAGUCAACAUGCGUCGAACACACACUAGAGCAAAUCAAAACAACGGAAGGUAUUCAUUACCACAGUACCAAAAAUAAUCAUAUAAAUAUUAAUUUACCUGGAUUAUUAAAAUGAUAACAAAAUAAAAUGCAGGAAUAUGUGGCAUCAUCAAGGAAUCCAAAUACCUGAGCAAGCAGCCUCUAAACUAGCAACACUCGAAUCUAAUGAUAGUCAAUCAGACAUCAUUAGAGCAGCAGCAAAGGAAGCUAGGCGGAAAAGGAAAGAGAUCCUCCAGCUGAAAAAGGCAAGCAAACGACUAAGGACAGAAAAGGGCAAUGACUGUGAAGUAUCUAAUGUAGCGAAGGAUGUCACUCAAGUUUCAUAUCUGGGAAAACCAAAUUGUGUUUGUGAAUUUUGCAAUGCCAUUAUGUGGCAUGGAGAGAGAAGCACAAGCACAGGUAACAUCACAGUUCCAAAAUUUGGUCUCUGCUGCAAGGAAGGGAAAGUUAAAUUGCCACCACUGAAGCAAGCUCCGCUGUAUCUCCGACAGCUACUACGUUACAAUGAAAGAAGAGAAUCAUCAAAUUUCCGCCAGAACAUCAGGUUGUACAACUCGAUGUUCGCAUUCACUUCAAUGGGAGGAAAGGUUGACUAUGAAAUUAAUAAGCAGGCAUCUGGACCGUAUGUUUUCCGUUUGAAUGGCCAGAAUUACCAUCAGAUUGGCACUUUACUUCCUAAGGAUGGCGUGACGAAACCAAAAUUUGCCCAAUUGUACAUACAUGACACAUAAAAUGAAGUGCGGAAUAGGAUUAAUGCAUCUGCUUCAACGGAGAGUAAGACACAACCAGAUGAAAACAUUGUCAAAGGACUACUGGAGAUGCUUGAUGAGCACAAUGUUUUAGUCAAAUCAUUUCGUAUGGCAAGGGACAGAUUCCAAAACCGACGUAUUAAAGAUGUAAGACUAAGAUUGAUCAACAAAAGGUCGAAAGAUGGACGGCAAUACAACCUACCAUCUGCCUCAGAAGUCGCAGCACUAAUUAUUGGGGAACAAGAUGGAGAAAAUAAUGAAUUUGAUAUAAUAGUUGAGACCAAAGACAGAAUGUUACAGAGGAUUUCAGAGUUGCACCCAAGCUAUAUGUCAAUGCAGUACCCCUUGCUUUUUCCAUAUGGAGAAGAUGGUUUCAGACCAGAAAUAGAGUAUGAAAAUAAAAGAGGCAACAAAGGUAAAAGAAAGUAUGUAACAAUGCUGGAGUUUUAUGCGUAUCGCAUACAACAAGGUCUGAACCAAGCUUCAACAUUGCAAAUGAGUGGACGUUUGUUCCUGCAGUUCUUAGUUGAUGCAGCAACGUGCAUUGAACAAUGGAGACUAAAUUGGUACAGGACAAACCAAGGUAAGUUGAGGACAGAACUGUACAGAGGACUGCAUGAUGCAAUAGAAAAUGGAGAUACACGAACCGAACAAGUUGGACAAAGAAUCAUACUACCCUCAUCAUAUAAUGGCAGUCCAAGAAAUAAGCAGCAAAACUACCAAGAUGCCAUGGCGAUUUGUCGUUGGGCUGGCUAUCCUGAUCUCUUCAUUACUUUUACAUGCAAUCCAAAAUGGCUGGAAAUACAAGAUAUGUUGGAUCUGAUUCCAGGCCAGAAACCUGAAGAUCGUCCAGAUAUCGUUGCCAGAGUAUUCAUGUUAAAACUGAAGGAACUUAUGAAUGACAUAAAGAACGGAAAGUGUUUUGGACAAACAAUUGCAAGUAAGUUUACCUAAUAAGUACAUAUUCACUCUUUCCUAGAUGAUUGUCCUAACUCAUUUCUUCUCAAAUUUGUUUACUUUCAUAAAGUUGUCUACACUAUAGAGUUCCAGAAAAGAGGCCUCCCGCAUGCACACAUACUGGUGUUUCUACACCCAGAUGAUAAAGAUCCAAGUCCUUCCCAGAUCGACAAAAUCAUAUCAGCCGAAAUUCCUGAUAAGAAUAGUGAUCCAGAAGGGUACGAAGCAGUGCAAAAUUACAUGAUACAUGGUCCAUGUGGUCAAGCACACCCAAAAUCACCAUGCAUUGUCGAUAAAAGUUGUGCCAAACAUUUCCCCAAGAAUUUUUGCACUGAGACUACCAUAGAUGAAGAUAACUAUCCAGUACAUAGAAGGCAAGAUGAUGGCAACACUGUGGACAAGAAUGGAGUGAAGCUAGACAAUAGAUUUGUUGUGCCAUACAAUAGAAACCUACUGGUCAAGUAUCAAGCCCACAUAAAUGUUGAGUGGUGCAGCAAAUCAAGGUCUAUAAAGUAUUUAUUCAAAUACAUCCACAAAGGAGAAGAUCGAACAACCGUCUUGAUAGAAGCGGAAGACCAACAAAGUGAAACAAGAGCUAGCAAAUUAACAAACAGGGACGAAAAAAUCAAGAGGUACCUUGAUGCCCGGUACAUAUCUGGAUGUGAAGCCGCAUGGCGCAUAUUUCAGUUUCCUCUUUAGUACAGAGAGCCUGCGGUUGAAAGGUUACAAUUUCACCUAGAAAAUGAACAUGUUGUGGUGUUCCCGGACUCAAUGGAUUUAGAUCAAAUUGUAUCCCGGCCUAACAUAGAAAAGACAAUGUUCACAGAAUGGAUGACAGCCAACUAGUUGCAUGAAGAAGCUCGCAGAUUGACGUAUGCAUAGUUUCCAACCAAAUGGACUUGGCAUGCACAAGAGAAAGAAUGGAGGAAAAGGCGUGGUGGAAAAAAACCAUAGGCAGGAUUUACUAUGCACAACCAACGAGCGGUGAAAAAUACUACUUGAGAAUGCUGUUAAAUACCGUCAAAGGAUGCAGAUCAUAUGAAGAAAUUCGAACAGUUGAUGGGGUUGUACAUCCAACAUUCAAAUCCACAUGUUAUGCUCUUGGGCUACUUAAUGAUGACAAAGAGUGGGAUGACUGCAUCAAGGAAGCAUCCCAUUGGGCCUCCACUCCUCAAAUGCGCCAACUUUUCUGCACAAUACUUUUAUUUUGUGAGGUGAUGGAUCCCGCAAAGUUGUGGCAAACAAAUUGGGAGUUACUAUAUGAGGAUAUCCAACGUCGGCAAAGAAGAAUAUUCAAUUUUCAGGCCCUGGAACUCAACUCGGCACAAAUAAAGAGCCUGCUCCUGGCAGAGAUAGAACAACUAUUGACUAAAGGUAGUAAGUCCCUCAAAGAUUUUCCAGGAAUGCCACUACCAGAUAGUUCAAUUCUUCAAGAUCUAAAUAAUAGAUUAGUAAAUGAGGAACUAAACUAUGAUAAAGAUUCUUUAAGAAUAGAACACAUGAAGUUACUGCAUAAGCUAAAUCAGGAUCAGAGGAUGGCUUUUGACGUUAUAAUAGAAUCAGUCAACGACAGUCUUGGAAAAUUGAUUUUUGUUGACGGAUAUGGUGGAACUGGAAAGACAUUUCUGUGGAAAGCAGUCAUGACAAAAUUAAGAUCUGAAGGAAAAAUAGUUCUAGCAGUUGCUUCAAGUGGUAUAGCAGCACUUCUUUUACAGGGUGGAAGAACAGCUCAUUCAAGAUUUCACAUUCCCCUCAAGAUCACUAACGAGUCCACAUGCAACAUCAAGCAAGGAACAUUUCUUGCGGAGCUAAUAAAGAAAACGUCACUGAUAAUAUGGGAUGAAGCACCUAUGACACACAAGCACUGUUUUGAGGCACUAGAUAAGAGUUUGAGAGACAUACUUCGAUUCACAUAUGAGGACGCAGAGCAUAGACCAUUUGGAGGAAUGACAGUAGUCUUGGGAGGUGACUUCAGGCAAAUCCUACCAGUUAUACCAAAGGGGAAAAGGGAACAUAUCAUUUCUGCAUCAAUAAAGAGAUCCUACCUAUGGAAGAACUUUGAGGAGUACCGACUCAAAGAAAAUAUGCGUCUGAAUUCAUCCGAAGGUAGUCCAGAAGAGAAAGCAAAAACAGCUGAAUUCGCAAACUGGAUACUAAACAUAGGCGAUGGCACAACGUCAACAAUAGAUGAAGAGGAUUGGGUUAGCAUCCCAGAGGACCUUAUUUUACAUGAAGGGGAUGACCCGAAAGCAUCUAUUGUUAACACCACCUAUCCUGACUUACACAGAAAAUACACUGAUAGAACAUACCUUGAGGAAAGAGCGAUCUUGUGCCCAAGAAACGAGACUGUUGACCAGAUUAAUGCCUACA
RNAcentral lists this long non-coding RNA (5127 nucleotides) under Triticum aestivum (bread wheat). RNAcentral's name for it is "long non-coding RNA (TAES_LNC024333)". Lineage: Eukaryota; Viridiplantae; Streptophyta; Magnoliopsida; Poales; Poaceae. The record is from RNAcentral.